RNAcentral lists this ribosomal RNA (242 nucleotides) under uncultured bacterium. RNAcentral describes it as "partial 16S ribosomal RNA". It matches the Rfam family "Bacterial small subunit ribosomal RNA", at positions 15 to 252 of the family's 1533-position model. The record is from RNAcentral.
GAUCAUGGCUCAGGACGGACGCUGGCGGCGCGCCUAACACAUGCAAGUCGAACGAGCGAGGGAGAGCUUGCUUUCUCGAGCGAGUGGCGAACGGGUGAGUAACGCGUGAGGAACCUGCCUCAAAGAGGGGGACAACAGUUGGAAACGACUGCUAAUACCGCAUAAGCCCACGGGUCGGCAUCGACCAGAGGGAAAAGGAGCAAUCCGCUUUGAGAUGGCCUCGCGUCCGAUUAGCUAGUUGG